This 500-nucleotide ribosomal RNA is filed under the name uncultured bacterium. RNAcentral's name for it is "partial 16S ribosomal RNA". It matches the Rfam family "Bacterial small subunit ribosomal RNA", at positions 30 to 523 of the family's 1533-position model. The record is from RNAcentral.
AUUGAACGCUGGCGGCAGGCCUAACACAUGCAAGUCGAGCGGAUGAGAAGAGCUUGCUCUUCGAUUCAGCGGCGGACGGGUGAGUAAUGCCUAGGAAUCUGCCUGGUAGUGGGGGACAACGUUUCGAAAGGAACGCUAAUACCGCAUACGUCCUACGGGAGAAAGCAGGGGACCUUCGGGCCUCGCGCUACCAGAUGAGCCUAGGUCGGGUUAGCUAGUUGGUGAGGUAAUGGCUCACCAAGGCGACGAUCCGUAACUGGUCUGAGAGGAUGAUCAGUCACACUGGAACUGAGACACGGUCCAGACUCCUACGGGAGGCAGCAGUGGGGAAUAUUGGACAAUGGGCGAAAGCCUGAUCCAGCCAUGCCGCGUGUGUGAAGAAGGUCUUCGGAUUGUAAAGCACUUUAAGUUGGGAGGAAGGGCAGUAAGUUAAUACCUUGCUGUUUUGACGUUACCGACAGAAUAAGCACCGGCUAACUCUGUGCCAGCCGCCGCAGUAA